Plutella xylostella (diamondback moth) is the source of this 1340-nucleotide long non-coding RNA. RefSeq lists it as uncharacterized. The record is from RefSeq and is a predicted model, not a curated record. Lineage: Eukaryota; Metazoa; Arthropoda; Insecta; Lepidoptera; Plutellidae.
CAACCUGACAUAACCUUAACCUGUUUGGCUGUUUUUUUUUCCGCACUAAUCAAAACAAAAGCAUGCGUCGUUGUGUUCAACAACAUCGAUCGCACGAAGAAAUCUAAUGUUUACCCGAUUAAACUUACGAAACUCUAAAAUAAUGAGUGAAUCUUACAGGACCAAACAUAACAAUGCAAACCCAACUACACUCUUUGUUGAACUAAAACCCAUGAUAAACCACUGAUCAAACCAUCCACUGUGACAAAACAUUCACAAUCCCUCACUAAUUAUAUACCAAAGUUACUAUUCUACAAUAAGAUAUGACAUACUUUGUUAAUGCUGAUGAUGAUGAUGUUCUAUAUUUGACAACCAAACUCUGAGACUAUAUACUAUGAAGUAAACAUCCUGACUCAGGUGAAGAAGUGUAUUGCAACCGCGCUCAAAAUAGGAACAACUAAACUACCCGCAUAAUUCUUAACUUACAAAGAAUAUAUUGACACUAAAUGAGGUCCUAGCCUACUUUAUAUGGUCUAACACUUUAUCAACAACAGUUUACUUGAUCUACAUUAAUUGUUUUCUAAAUUUAUUGUUAUGUCUGACCGCUACCCUUUCAUCACAAAAUAUUUUUUUAUUAUUUUUUCUUUCAAAUGAGAUUAAUGUUAUAUUUUCUUUUCUUUAUUAACUGUAACUCAUUGUAUUUGUUUAGAGAAAUGUCUGAUAACAUAUUCUGCUACUAAUUGGCUCUCUGGAAUUUCAUAAUUAGACAUUUGGGCUUUUCCGGUUACUCUAAGUUAGAAUGAUAGCAUAGAUAGUGUUACAGUUCUAUCCCAACUCCUAUGAUCAAUGUUGUAUAAUAUAUCUACUCUUUCAGACAUUCAAGUAUAAUAAUUUAAGAGCCUAGUUUUUAAGCACCUAGUCGAUGACAAGCAAAGAUCCGAUCCAGAAGCACAAUCAACCACAUCAACAAACCAAAGAACCCGCACAACAAAACUCAUACAACCAAUACCAAACUGAACCAACCCAGCCAAAAGGAUAAUUAAUAAUUAUAGACUAGUUGCUAUAAGUACCGAUUCCCCCGCAACCAGGCCAGUCCAGCCCGGAACCAACCAUACAAGCUCCGCCACGCAAACUCCUCGAUCCACCGAUGCAGCCGACCGCACCUCCAGACCAAAAUCCCCACCCCUCAUCUACCUGGGCCAGAAUUUCUUUAUCUAUUCUAAUCAUUUCAGGUUGUUCAUAAGGACUAAAAUGCGCCGCGUUUUCGUUACAUUUGUUUUUUUUUUUUUUUUUAUAUAAUUUUUGAUUUUAAUAAAUGUUUUACUGCUUUUACCUAAAAUAAAACCAUAUCAUUAUUUUAC